RNAcentral lists this ribosomal RNA (236 nucleotides) under uncultured bacterium. RNAcentral's name for it is "partial 16S ribosomal RNA". It matches the Rfam family "Bacterial small subunit ribosomal RNA", at positions 567 to 802 of the family's 1533-position model. The record is from RNAcentral.
GCACGUAGGUGGGUUUCUAAGUCCGUGGUGAAAUACUUCAGCUCAACUGGAGAACUGCAUCGGAUACUGGGAAUCUCGAGUAAUGUAGGAGCACGUGGAACGGCUGGUGGAGCGGUGAAAUGCGUAGAUAUCAGUCGGAACUCCGGUGGCGAAGGCGAUGUGCUGGACAUUUACUGACACUGAGGCGCGAAAGCUAGGGGAGCAAACGGGAUUAGAUACCCCGGUAGUCCUGGCCC